This 473-nucleotide long non-coding RNA is filed under the name Olea europaea subsp. europaea. Lineage: Eukaryota; Viridiplantae; Streptophyta; Magnoliopsida; Lamiales; Oleaceae. The record is from RNAcentral.
CCUCCCGUCUCCCAUUGCUGUCGCUCCUUGUAGUAGAAUCUGAUUACAAAAAAUUUCGAUCUUACGUUGUUGCAGUACCUCAUACUUCUAUUCAGCGACCAAGAUUUACGUGGUCGCUAUACCUCUUGGCAGGAUGAACCCCCUAAUUUUUUUAACUCUUCCAGCGACGAAACUAGUGGUCGCUGCAUGUAUAAUCCUCCAGUGACCAAUAUCUAGCCGCUAAUACUUCUAUCCAGUGACCAACGUUUAUGUGGUCGCUAUACCUCUUGGCGGGAUGAACCCUACCUAAUUUUUUCUCUCUUUCAGCAACCAAAGUGGUGGUCGCUGUAUAUAUUUCAGCGACCAGAUAUUGGUCGGUUUACAGCUUAGCGGGAUGAGCCCUCUAAUUUUUUUAACUCGUCUAGCGACUAAACUUGUGGUUGCAGCAUAUAUAAUCCUCCAGCGACCAAUAACUGGUCGCUGGUUGUAUAAUC